GUUAAAAAUUCAUAUUCAAAAAUCUCAAGUAUAUCCUGCCUCUUCCUCAAGGGUGUUUUCCAUAUUUAUUUGCUAAGAAGUAGUAUUCAUAAACUAACUAUUUCAGAACCUAUUAUACCAUAACUACAAUGAGAUGUACUAUUCAGGAAUAAGGAUAGAAAUCGACCGAAUGGACUUUAAAAUUCUUUCUGAAAAAAUAUAUGAACAUAUUAAUAUCUCAAAUCUCCAGACGGAACUUUAUCACAUACUUUACCAACUUUAUCAUCAAGCAUUCUAGGAUAAUUCUGAUUUUAAAAUUAAUUAUAAUAUUUAUAAUGUCUAGAUUAGCUAUUCCCCAAUGUGAUCACCAGAAAAUUUUAGUGCGGCCACAAAAAAAUAAUUUAAUAUGUAAGUUGAAUUCAAAAUUUAAGGAAAAUGGAUAUAAAUACAUUAAUUUCUUAUUUAUUGCAUUUAUAUAAAUAUACAAUUUAAAAUAAAUUAACAGAACUUAUCAGAAAAACGUCCUUAGAAUAGCGUGAUCAUACUUUUAAUAAUUGAAAUCAAUAAAAUUUUUUAUUUUAUUAAAAUUUUUUCAAAUAAAAAUCGAGUGUUUAUAUAAAUUCUUACUUUUGCAUACUAUAAAGACAAUAAUAAAAUAAAAUAAUAAAUAAAAUAAUAAAAUUAAAAAAAUUAUAAAUUUUUAUCACACUAAGGGAAGUCAGUCAGAUUUUGAUGGUUGCAUUCACAGAAAAAUUUCUCUUGAGAAACGCUAGUCUAGACCCAAUUUUCCUAUAAAAAAGAUGUACUUCCACCCAAUUCAAUUAAUAUUUAUAAGAAGCUUGCACAUCAGGAUUCCUUUAACAGGUUGACAGUGUUUAUGUAUUCUACAAAGGUAAAUGCUAGAAAUAUUUUAUAAAUAAAUUACAUAAUAUUAAUCAGAACGAUAAUUCAAAAUGAUAUGAAACAUCAUAAAAUACUACAUAUAGUAUAUGAUUUUAUAUCUAUGAAUAUGUGAAUACAAACAUCAUUAGCGCUUUUUGAAUAUAGAGCGUACAAUUGUUAUUUUUGCAUGCCAAUUAGAUAAUUCUCAGUUUACUCUCAAUUCGCAUUCCACUAAUGACAGAAUGGUUUCGUCAUUCAAGUGUAUCUUUUUUUUUUUUGUCAAUUGCUUUGGUGUAAAAUAUCUAUCCUUCUACUUAUGACAGAGACAGUUGCCAAAAGUUCAAGGUUUUAGGAUAUAAGACGCGGUGUGCUGACCUUCAGUGAAAUGGAAAGAAGCCAAUCUAUGUCGAAAUGAAUGUUUUUAUUUAUUUACUAUAUAAUACACAAUCCAUAAAUAAAUAAAAGAUAUUUCGUAAUUGUUUUAUUUCAAAUAUUCCAGAAGUUUUAAUUUUUAUUCGAAUCGAGUUCAUAUUUUGAUAAAUUUGUAAACUUUACAAUUCAUGUAAACUACAUUUUGAAAAUUAAGCUAUAAAAAUUAAUUCUUAAGGAAGAGGAUAAUAAAAUUUAACGAUUUCUCAAUAACAGGUCUAUGAUACUACAAUUAUAAAUAUGAGACUAUCAUGAAGUGCGUUUUUUUCUUUUUACUAGUUUGUAUAUAAAGUCUCAUAAAAAAAAGUAUUUCACUUAUUAAUAUGAUCUCUUAAUUAAUAUUAAAAAUCUGAAUUAAUUUAUAUUUCUUAGAAAAAAUAUCGGAAAGAGGUCAUAAAUAAUGUUAACAAACAGGAAGUGGUAAAGAGUUAAUGAAGUUUCAAAGAAACUGCCAUAUAGGAUGAUAGAAUCUAGUCGAAUCCGUAACGUUUUAAUGGAUAGAACAUGUGUUUGCGGUUUAAAUACUUUUACACAGAAAUAUUUAUUUAGUCUACCUCGAAAACUGUUCACAAAAAGUUUAUUCAUUUUAUAAAAGAAGUCUAUUUAUAACCAAAGAUAUUUAUUCAACAAACGACUAUGUUGCUUCUUGUUAAAUGUCCUCAAAGUACGUGAUAAGCAAAUACUAUAGGUUUACUGUUUACUUUAAGAGUUUUGGUUUUCUCUCUUAUCUUUUGCUGUUUUAGUAUCAGAGAAUUUAUUUUGGGAAAAUCUUCGUUGAUAAACAUUCUGAUCGAGUUAAUCGUAUACUUGGAGAUAAAAAUAGAUCAUAAUGGCUACACAUUCAAGAAACAGAAACUCCGCUUAUGGACGUUAUAGGAC
Molecule: long non-coding RNA, 2169 nt
Filed under: Androctonus crassicauda
Lineage: Eukaryota; Metazoa; Arthropoda; Arachnida; Scorpiones; Buthidae
Source: RNAcentral